AUGGAGAAGGUACAAGUUUUCAUCGUCGGAGCGGGUCCUUCUGGGCUUGCCACAGCAGCAUGCCUAAGCAAACUCUCUAUACCAUAUAUCAUCGCUGAGCGUGAAGAUUGUAUUAUGUCAUUAUGGCAGAAAUACACAUAUGAUCGCCUCAAGCUCCACAUCGCCAAAGAGUUUUGUGAGCUACCCCACAUGGCAUACCCAACUGAUUCGCCGACGUACCUUCCCAAAGACCAGUUUUUAAGGUAUAUGGAGGAUUAUGUCAAGCACUUCAAUAUAUCCCCGAAGUUUAACACUUCAGUUGAGUCAUGCAUGUACGAUGAGGUGAGGAAAUGUUGGGUUGUCACGACACAUAACAAGGUGGAUGGCCCAACUAUGUAUGCAUCCAACUUCUUGGUUGUAGCAACAGGUGAAAAUAGUAUGGGAUAUGUUCCAGAGAUCGUUGGCCUACAAAGCUUUCCUAGUGAAACAAUCCACUCAUCAAGUUACAAGUCCGGAAAUGAUUAUGUUGGGAAAAGCGUGCUUGUUGUUGGAUGUGGGAACUCUGGCUUUGAGAUUGCCCAUGAUCUUGCAGUGCAUGGAGCUAACACUUCCAUCAUUAUCCGUAGUCCGUUGCAUGUUAUGACAAAGGAGUUGAUCCACCUGGGCAUGGUGCUCUCAACGUGGCACCUUCCACUGAAGCUUGUAGAUCUUAUUCUUAUGAUCGUCGCAUAUAUCUUAUUAGGUGAUUUAUCAAAGUAUGGAAUUGUGAGGCCUAAUAUUGGUCCACUCACCCUAAAAGCAAAAACUGGUCGGUCUGCUGUCAUAGACACUGGCACCACUAAGCUAAUAAAAAAAGGUGAUAUCAAGGUAUUCGGUCCAAUAUCAUGCAUUCGAGGAAAUCUCAUAGAGUUUGCAGAUGGGAAUGAGAGGUACUAUGACGCUAUUGUGUUUGCCACAGGUUACAAAAGCACCGCCAAUAUAUGGCUCAAGAACGACAUGGGUAUGCUAAAUAGUGAUGGCAUACCCAAAAAAGACUUCCCCAACCACUGGAAAGGUGCAAAUGGACUCUACAAUGUCGGAUUUGCAAGGAGGGGAUUGGCUGGUAUUGCACAUGAUGCCAAUAUUGUUGCAAGUGACAUCCAUACCAACAUAGAAAUGACAUAUUUUAAUUAG
Molecule: ribosomal RNA, 1152 nt
Filed under: Triticum aestivum (bread wheat)
Lineage: Eukaryota; Viridiplantae; Streptophyta; Magnoliopsida; Poales; Poaceae
Description: partial small subunit ribosomal RNA
Source: RNAcentral